Molecule: ribosomal RNA, 293 nt
Filed under: uncultured Acidimicrobiales bacterium
Lineage: Bacteria; Bacillati; Actinomycetota; Acidimicrobiia; Acidimicrobiales
Description: partial 16S ribosomal RNA
Rfam family: Bacterial small subunit ribosomal RNA
Source: RNAcentral
GUGUCAGCAGCCGCGGUAAUACGUAGGGGGCGAGCGUUGUCCGGAUUCAUUGGGCGUAAAGAGCUCGUAGGCGGCUUGGCAAGUCGGGUGUGAAAUCUCCAGGCUCAACCUGGAGCCGCCACUCGAUACUGCCAUGGCUAGAGUCCGGUAGGGGACCAUGGAAUUCCUGGUGUAGCGGUGAAAUGCGCAGAUAUCAGGAGGAACACCAGUGGCGAAGGCGGUGGUCUGGGCCGGAACUGACGCUGAGGAGCGAAAGCGUGGGGAGCGAACAGGAUUAGAAACCCUUGUAGUCC